This 89-nucleotide transfer RNA is filed under the name Nitrososphaerota archaeon. Its description in RNAcentral is "Thaumarchaeota archaeon tRNA-Arg". It matches the Rfam family "tRNA". From Rfam's summary of the family: Transfer RNA (tRNA) molecules are approximately 80 nucleotides in length. Their secondary structure includes four short double-helical elements and three loops (D, anti-codon, and T loops). Further hydrogen bonds mediate the characteristic L-shaped molecular structure. tRNAs have two regions of fundamental functional importance: the anti-codon, which is responsible for specific mRNA codon recognition, and the 3' end, to which the tRNAs corresponding amino acid is attached (by aminoacyl-tRNA synthetases). tRNAs cope with the degeneracy of the genetic code in two manners: having more than one tRNA (with a specific anti-codon) for a particular amino acid; and 'wobble' base-pairing, i.e. permitting non-standard base-pairing at the 3rd anti-codon position. RNAcentral also lists the same sequence under 1 other name. Lineage: Archaea; Thermoproteati; Nitrososphaerota. The record is from RNAcentral.
GGGUCCGUGGCCCAGUCAGGAAAGGGUGCUGAUUAUCAAGCAUAGGCCUCCGAAGCCAGAGUUCAUGGGAUCGAAGCCCAUCGGACCCG